Molecule: ribosomal RNA, 1542 nt
Filed under: Pectobacterium brasiliense
Lineage: Bacteria; Pseudomonadati; Pseudomonadota; Gammaproteobacteria; Enterobacterales; Pectobacteriaceae
Description: bacterial SSU rRNA
Rfam family: Bacterial small subunit ribosomal RNA
Source: RNAcentral
AAAUUGAAGAGUUUGAUCAUGGCUCAGAUUGAACGCUGGCGGCAGGCCUAACACAUGCAAGUCGAGCGGUAGCACAGAGGAGCUUGCUCUUUGGGUGACGAGCGGCGGACGGGUGAGUAAUGUCUGGGAAACUGCCUGAUGGAGGGGGAUAACUACUGGAAACGGUAGCUAAUACCGCAUAACCUCGCAAGAGCAAAGAGGGGGACCUUCGGGCCUCUCGCCAUCAGAUGUGCCCAGAUGGGAUUAGCUAGUAGGUGAGGUAAUGGCUCACCUAGGCGACGAUCCCUAGCUGGUCUGAGAGGAUGACCAGCCACACUGGAACUGAGACACGGUCCAGACUCCUACGGGAGGCAGCAGUGGGGAAUAUUGCACAAUGGGCGCAAGCCUGAUGCAGCCAUGCCGCGUGUGUGAAGAAGGCCUUCGGGUUGUAAAGCACUUUCAGCGGGGAGGAAGGCGGUAAGGUUAAUAACCUUGUCGAUUGACGUUACCCGCAGAAGAAGCACCGGCUAACUCCGUGCCAGCAGCCGCGGUAAUACGGAGGGUGCAAGCGUUAAUCGGAAUGACUGGGCGUAAAGCGCACGCAGGCGGUCUGUUAAGUUGGAUGUGAAAUCCCCGGGCUUAACCUGGGAACUGCAUUCAAAACUGACAGGCUAGAGUCUUGUAGAGGGGGGUAGAAUUCCAGGUGUAGCGGUGAAAUGCGUAGAGAUCUGGAGGAAUACCGGUGGCGAAGGCGGCCCCCUGGACAAAGACUGACGCUCAGGUGCGAAAGCGUGGGGAGCAAACAGGAUUAGAUACCCUGGUAGUCCACGCUGUAAACGAUGUCGAUUUGGAGGUUGUGCCCUUGAGGCGUGGCUUCCGGAGCUAACGCGUUAAAUCGACCGCCUGGGGAGUACGGCCGCAAGGUUAAAACUCAAAUGAAUUGACGGGGGCCCGCACAAGCGGUGGAGCAUGUGGUUUAAUUCGAUGCAACGCGAAGAACCUUACCUACUCUUGACAUCCAGAGAACUUAGCAGAGAUGCUUUGGUGCCUUCGGGAACUCUGAGACAGGUGCUGCAUGGCUGUCGUCAGCUCGUGUUGUGAAAUGUUGGGUUAAGUCCCGCAACGAGCGCAACCCUUAUCCUUUGUUGCCAGCGAUUCGGUCGGGAACUCAAAGGAGACUGCCGGUGAUAAACCGGAGGAAGGUGGGGAUGACGUCAAGUCAUCAUGGCCCUUACGAGUAGGGCUACACACGUGCUACAAUGGCGUAUACAAAGAGAAGCGACCUCGCGAGAGCAAGCGGACCUCAUAAAGUACGUCGUAGUCCGGAUUGGAGUCUGCAACUCGACUCCAUGAAGUCGGAAUCGCUAGUAAUCGUAGAUCAGAAUGCUACGGUGAAUACGUUCCCGGGCCUUGUACACACCGCCCGUCACACCAUGGGAGUGGGUUGCAAAAGAAGUAGGUAGCUUAACCUUCGGGAGGGCGCUUACCACUUUGUGAUUCAUGACUGGGGUGAAGUCGUAACAAGGUAACCGUAGGGGAACCUGCGGUUGGAUCACCUCCUUA